CCGAUGAUCUCCCCUCCCUAAGGACACUGGACCAUAGGAAGUGCUACAGUGCAUCAGACCAGCGGUCCAUCCAGUCCAGUGUCCUGGCUCUGGCAGUGGCCAAGAUCAGAUGCUCCAGAGAGGAAGGUAACAUAACAGCAAACAUACACUGCUAAGGCCGUAAUAAGCCAGUUGCUGCCUUGAUUCUACCCUCCACUCACAUUUCUGGAGUUCGAUUUUGCAAAACGUCAACAGAUUUGUGUUGAACCCUCAUGGAAUAAACUUCUGGGUUUCCUUACUUCGGAAAAGAAAGCAAACUGCCCCAGUUGCUUUGUUGCCUCACUGGCUUAGCCCAUCUUUUAAAAGAAAAUAAUUUCAUCAGGGCUUGUCACCAAAAUGGACCGUUCCCUUCCUUUGCAGCUCAACGGGGUGAUGGCUAAGCAGUGGAAUUUAAAAAAGAAUGAGAAGAAAAAAGGAACAGCCCCCACAUUGGGCCACGUGUAAUCUGCCUUUGGAAUCUGGAACAGAAGUCGCAUCGAUAUGGUUUCGAAAUAUGUGCAAACUAAUAUGAAAUUCCUUGUUGAUGGUGAAUGUUGGAAGUAAAGCCCAGUACCUGUAAAAUGAGCCCCUGUCUAUCACAUGCUUCAUAUUAAACUUUCAUGCAGUUUUCCUUCGCUGUUUUUUUUCCUGCUAAAGGGUUCUUAUAAACUUUCCUUCGUUUAUUUAGCCUGGUUUUCAUUGCUGCAGUUUUGCAUGGUUUGCCUUUGUUUAGUUUAUUAACCCACAGGGUUACUUUAACUAAAUAUUUGGGCUGAAUACUUUGGAGUUGGAUUUCAACAUUUUCUAACAAAAUUACUGAGUUUUUUGAAGCCACACAGAGAACUCUGUGUUGACUUGAUUAGUCAAUUUAACAGACUAUGGGGAAAAUAAAAAUAAGAAACAUACCUGAUGUAUCCCCUGUAAUGAGAAAUUGGACUGAAAGCAUCUCUUAUUUAGUAUUUUAGAUAACAUCAAGGCUGAGUUAAUUUUCAAUAACAUUUUAAUAGAAAUGUCAAACUUGUAACACCUCUGCCUUUGCCUUUACUGGGUUGGGAAAGAGGCAGUGUCCCAUUCAUGUGCUCAAGGUACUGUUUUCCCAGGCCCUAAAAUAAUAUACGCUUCCCUUAAGACAAUAUAAAGGAAUCUGUGACAGAGAAGGUUA
Long non-coding RNA from Chelonia mydas (Green sea turtle), 1180 nucleotides. RefSeq lists it as uncharacterized. The transcript is spliced from 4 exons. The record is from RefSeq and is a predicted model, not a curated record. NCBI's taxonomy places the organism in Eukaryota, Metazoa, Chordata, Testudines, Cheloniidae.